GAGGCGCCAGAAAGUGAAAGCUGCUAACUUAUCACUAUAGCGGUUAAAAUCCGUUUACACCUCU
Molecule: transfer RNA, 64 nt
Filed under: Prorhinotermes inopinatus
Lineage: Eukaryota; Metazoa; Arthropoda; Insecta; Blattodea; Rhinotermitidae
Description: tRNA-Ser
Source: RNAcentral